RNAcentral lists this microRNA (23 nucleotides) under Nematostella vectensis (starlet sea anemone). RNAcentral describes it as "nve-miR-2049-5p". The record is from miRBase by way of RNAcentral. Lineage: Eukaryota; Metazoa; Cnidaria; Anthozoa; Actiniaria; Edwardsiidae.
CAAAUGCACGCAAAUGAAGAUGA